AGUGAACGCUGGCGGUAGGCCUAACACAUGCAAGUCGAACGGCAGCACAGUAAGAGCCUGCUCUUACGGGUGGCGAGUGGCGGACGGGUGAGGAAUACAUCGGAAUCUACUUUUUCGUGGGGGAUAACGUAGGGAAACUUACGCUAACACCGCAUACGACCUACGGGUGAAAGCAGGGGAUCUUCGGACCUUGCGCGAUUGAAUGAGCCGAUGUCGGAUUAGCUAGUUGGCGGGGUAAAGGCCCACCAAGGCGACGAUCCGUAGCUGGUCUGAGAGGAUGAUCAGCCACACUGGAACUGAGACACGGUCCAGACUCCUACGGGAGGCAGCAGUGGGGAAUAUUGGACAAUGGGCGCAAGCCUGAUCCAGCCAUACCGCGUGGGUGAAGAAGGCCUUCGGGUUGUAAAGCCCUUUUGUUGGGAAAGAAAAGCAGCAGGUUAAUACCCCGCUGUUCUGACGGUACCCAAAGAAUAAGCACCGGCUAACUUCGUG
This 492-nucleotide ribosomal RNA is filed under the name uncultured bacterium. RNAcentral describes it as "partial 16S ribosomal RNA". It matches the Rfam family "Bacterial small subunit ribosomal RNA", at positions 29 to 507 of the family's 1533-position model. The record is from RNAcentral.